Molecule: ribosomal RNA, 608 nt
Filed under: Pseudanabaena sp. BACA0295
Lineage: Bacteria; Bacillati; Cyanobacteriota; Cyanophyceae; Pseudanabaenales; Pseudanabaenaceae
Description: bacterial SSU rRNA
Rfam family: Bacterial small subunit ribosomal RNA
Source: RNAcentral
AAUCUACCUAUAGGUUCGGGACAACAGUUAGAAAUGACUGCUAAUACCGGAUGUGCCUUCGGGUGAAAGUUUUAAUGCCUAUAGAUGAGCUUGCGUCCGAUUAGCUAGAUGGAGUGGUAACGGCACACCAUGGCGACGAUCGGUAGCUGGUCUGAGAGGAUGACCAGUCACACUGGAACUGAGACACGGUCCAGACUCCUACGGGAGGCAGCAGUGGGGAAUUUUCCGCAAUGGGCGAAAGCCUGACGGAGCAAUACCGCGUGAGGGACGAAGGUCUGUGGAUUGUAAACCUCUUUUGUUAGGGAAGAUAAUGACGGUACCUAACGAAUAAGCAUCGGCUAACUCCGUGCCAGCAGCCGCGGUAAGACGGAGGAUGCAAGCGUUAUCCGGAAUUAUUGGGCGUAAAGCGUACGUAGGCUGUUAGAUAAGUCUGUUGUCAAAGCGCGAGGCUCAACCUUGUAAAGGCAAUGGAAACUGUUUGACUAGAGAGAGAUAGGGGCAGGAGGAAUUCCAGGUGUAGCGGUGAAAUGCGUAGAUAUCUGGAAGAACACCAGUGGCGAAAGCGUCCUGCUGGAUCUCAACUGACGCUGAAGUACGAAAGCUAGGGG